GACGAACGCUGGCGGCGUGCUUAACACAUGCAAGUCGAACGGAAAGGCCCUGCUUUUGUGGUGUGCUCGAUUGCCGAACGGGUGAGUAACACUUGAGUAACCUGCCCUUGACUUUGGGAUAACUUCAGGAAACUGGGGCUAAUACCAGAUAGGAGCUCCUGCUGCAUUGUGGGGGUUGGAAAGUGUCGGCGGUUGGGGAUGUGCUCGCGGCUUAUCAGCUUGUUGGUGGGGUAGUGGAUUACCAAGGCCUUGACGGGUAGCCGGCCUGAGAGGGUGACCGGCCACAGUGGGACUGAGAUACGGCAGAGACUAGUAAGGGAGGCAGCAGUGGGGAAUAUUGCACAAUGGGGGGAAGCCUGAUGAAGCAACGCCGCGUGCGGGAUGACGGCCUUCGGGUUGUAGAGCGUUUUGGCCUGUGCCGGAGCGUGAGUGACGGUAAUGGGUAAAGAAGCACCGGCUAACUACGUG
RNAcentral lists this ribosomal RNA (468 nucleotides) under uncultured bacterium. RNAcentral's name for it is "partial 16S ribosomal RNA". It matches the Rfam family "Bacterial small subunit ribosomal RNA", at positions 28 to 507 of the family's 1533-position model. The record is from RNAcentral.